Molecule: transfer RNA, 72 nt
Filed under: Clydonella sawyeri
Lineage: Eukaryota; Discosea; Flabellinia; Vannellidae
Description: tRNA-Met
Rfam family: tRNA
About the family: Transfer RNA (tRNA) molecules are approximately 80 nucleotides in length. Their secondary structure includes four short double-helical elements and three loops (D, anti-codon, and T loops).
Source: RNAcentral
GAGCCUAUCGUCUAAAGGUUAGGACAUUCUGCUCAUAACAGAAUUAUGGAGGUUCGAUUCCUUCUAGGCUUA